Long non-coding RNA from Neopelma chrysocephalum (saffron-crested tyrant-manakin), 1305 nucleotides. RefSeq lists it as uncharacterized. The transcript is spliced from 3 exons. The record is from RefSeq and is a predicted model, not a curated record. Lineage: Eukaryota; Metazoa; Chordata; Aves; Passeriformes; Pipridae.
UUUGGCCACAGUUACAUCUGCACAAUAACUUUUUUUUUCCCUUCUUAAAUAUGUUAUCACAGAGGCACUACCACCAUUUCUGAUUCGUUCAGCCUUGGCUAGCAGCAUAUCCAUCUUGGAGCUGGCUGGCAUCGGCUCUAUCAGACAUGGAGGAAGCUUCUAGCAGCUUCUCACAGAAGCCACCCCUGUAGCCCCAUCCUCUCUACCAAAACCUGGCCAUGCAAACCCAGUACAGUGACACUCUUUUAAUUUGUUUGUGGCCUAGUAGCUAUAGCUAGAUUCACAAAUGGAAGUGCAAAGAUCCUAUCUUCAGCAUUACAACACGCACUCCUGGAAGCAAGAUUGUCAUCCCUGAAUUAAAUAGUUGCACUUGCUACUUGUUUAAAAGAAACCACCAGUGCCUAGAAUGGUAAUCAGUGUGAGCUGGAGAAUUAGCAAAGCUGGCGCAUGUGAAGGUGAGGACAUAAGCAUUUGCCCUUUAGCUGAGAGGAUGAAGGUGUAUCUGAUUCUGCUUGGGAUUUACACCCUUGCAACCUCUUUAGGAACUGGGUCUUGUCAAACUCAAAGUAGGCAUUGGUCCAUUACAGGUAGCAAUUUAUGCUCCUUUAAUACAGAUAAACUGACACUGAGAGCAUCCACCUAUGGGUAACACCACCCAGGCUGUGUAAGGCUGGUUGUGGGAUAUCAUUUACCUACUUGCUUAAUUUCACUUGGAUAGUAUUCCAUCAUGUAAACAUGACUUUCAAACAAGGCCUCUACCUGAAGAGUCCAAGUUUUGUUUGGUCUUUGCUCCAGAGACCACUUUAAUCUGUUGUGAGUAAAUUACUUGUCUUUUAAAUGCUGAUGAUGGAACAUGGUCCCACAUAGUAAUUGUGGCUUGGCUAAAGUUUAACAGGCCAGGAUUCUAAACAUGCUGUUCAUAUCACUGUAGUUAAAUUCGUGUGGUAGUAUCAAGUUGAGGCAUGUGGGCCUAAAGUUGUUUAACUUGCUUAUGUCAAUUUAUAGAUGAAGUUGAACCAAUUCAGACUUAAAGCUUAAAGCAAGGUCUGAACUAUUCUGUCUGUAGAAGUCAUGUGUUUGGAGGCUAUAUUGCAUGUGAGUAAUUGCACGGACACCCUUCCUCUUUUUUCAUUCACUCCACCUACAAGAGCUUAACCUCCCUUUCUGUCUCUUCCCCUUCUUCCUCCUUUCUUCUGUUUUUCACCUUUCCAUUGCUGCUGAUUUCAGUGAUCAUCUCUCUGGCCUUCAAUUCGUACUUUGUAAUGACCUAGAUUUAGGAAGUAAUAGAUAUAGUUAUAGCUAUAG